AAAUUGAAGAGUUUGAUCAUGGCUCAGAUUGAACGCUGGCGGCAGGCCUAACACAUGCAAGUCGAACGGUAACAGGAAGCAGCUUGCUGCUUUGCUGACGAGUGGCGGACGGGUGAGUAAUGUCUGGGAAACUGCCUGAUGGAGGGGGAUAACUACUGGAAACGGUGGCUAAUACCGCAUAACGUCGCAAGACCAAAGAGGGGGACCUUCGGGCCUCUUGCCAUCAGAUGUGCCCAGAUGGGAUUAGCUAGUUGGUGAGGUAACGGCUCACCAAGGCGACGAUCCCUAGCUGGUCUGAGAGGAUGACCAGCCACACUGGAACUGAGACACGGUCCAGACUCCUACGGGAGGCAGCAGUGGGGAAUAUUGCACAAUGGGCGCAAGCCUGAUGCAGCCAUGCCGCGUGUAUGAAGAAGGCCUUCGGGUUGUAAAGUACUUUCAGCGGGGAGGAAGGCGUUGUGGUUAAUAACCGCAGCGAUUGACGUUACCC
RNAcentral lists this ribosomal RNA (490 nucleotides) under Salmonella enterica. Its description in RNAcentral is "bacterial SSU rRNA". It matches the Rfam family "Bacterial small subunit ribosomal RNA", at positions 1 to 480 of the family's 1533-position model. RNAcentral also lists the same sequence under 1 other name. The record is from RNAcentral. Lineage: Bacteria; Pseudomonadati; Pseudomonadota; Gammaproteobacteria; Enterobacterales; Enterobacteriaceae.